This 266-nucleotide ribosomal RNA is filed under the name Escherichia coli APEC O2. RNAcentral's name for it is "partial 16S ribosomal RNA". It matches the Rfam family "Bacterial small subunit ribosomal RNA", at positions 1 to 261 of the family's 1533-position model. Lineage: Bacteria; Pseudomonadati; Pseudomonadota; Gammaproteobacteria; Enterobacterales; Enterobacteriaceae. The record is from RNAcentral.
UUAAAUUGAAGAGUUUGAUCAUGGCUCAGAUUGAACGCUGGCGGCAGGCCUAACACAUGCAAGUCGAACGGUAACAGGAAGCAGCUUGCUGCUUUGCUGACGAGUGGCGGACGGGUGAGUAAUGUCUGGGAAACUGCCUGAUGGAGGGGGAUAACUACUGGAAACGGUAGCUAAUACCGCAUAACGUCGCAAGACCAAAGAGGGGGACCUUCGGGCCUCUUGCCAUCGGAUGUGCCCAGAUGGGAUUAGCUAGUAGGUGGGGUAAA